RNAcentral lists this ribosomal RNA (489 nucleotides) under uncultured bacterium. RNAcentral describes it as "partial 16S ribosomal RNA". It matches the Rfam family "Bacterial small subunit ribosomal RNA", at positions 28 to 507 of the family's 1533-position model. The record is from RNAcentral.
GACGAACGCUGGCGGCGUGCUUAACACAUGCAAGUCGAACGGAAAGGCCCCCACCUUGGUGGGGGUGCUCGAGUGGCGAACGGGUGAGUAACACGUGGGUGAUCUGCCCUGUACUUCGGGAUAAGCUUGGGAAACUGGGUCUAAUACCGGAUAGGACCAUGGUUUAGUGUCUCAUGGUGGAAAAAUUAUUGUUUUGGUGCAGGAUGAGCUCGCGGCCUAUCAGCUUGUUGGUGGGGUAAUGGCCUACCAAGGCGUCGACGGGUAGCCGGCCUGAGAGGGUGGACGGCCACAUUGGGACUGAGAGACGGCCCAGACUCCUACGGGAGGAAGCAGUGGGGAAUAUUGCACAAUGGGCGCAAGCCUGAUGCAGCGACGCCGCGUGGGGGAUGACGGCCUUCGGGUUGUAAACUCCUUUCGUUAGGGACGAAGCCACACCUUUUUUGGGUGUGGUGACGGUACCUUUGUUAAGAAGCACCGGCUAACUACGUG